Molecule: ribosomal RNA, 500 nt
Filed under: uncultured bacterium
Lineage: Bacteria
Description: partial 16S ribosomal RNA
Rfam family: Bacterial small subunit ribosomal RNA
Source: RNAcentral
AUUGAACGCUGGCGGAAUGCUUUACACAUGCAAGUCGAACGGCAGCACGGACUUCGGUCUGGUGGCGAGUGGCGAACGGGUGAGUAAUGUAUCGGAACGUGCCCAGUCGUGGGGGAUAACGUAGUGAAAAUUACGCUAAUACCGCAUACGAUCUAUGGAUGAAAGCGGGGGAUCGCAAGACCUCGCGCGAUUGGAGCGGCCGAUAUCGGAUUAGGUAGUUGGUGGGGUAAAGGCCCACCAAGCCAACGAUCUGUAGCUGGUCUGAGAGGACGAGCGGCCACGCUGGAACUGUGACACGGUCCAGACUCCUACGGGAGGCAGCAGUGGGGAAUUUUGGACAAUGGGCGAAAGCCUGAUCCAGCCAUUCCGCGUGCAGGAUGAAGGCCCUCGGGUUGUAAACUGCUUUUGUACAGAACGAAAAGGUUUCUACUAAUACUAGGAGCUCAUGACGGUACUGUAAGAAUAAGCACCGGCUAACUACGGGCCAGCCGCCGCGGUAA